CCUACGGGUGGCAGCAGUGGGGAAUAUUGGACAAUGGGCGCAAGCCUGAUCCAGCCAUGCCGCGUGAGUGAUGAAGGCCCUAGGGUUGUAAAGCUCUUUCACCGGUGAAGCGGUAACCGGAGAAGAAGCCCCGGCUAACUUCGUGCCAGCAGCCGCGGUAAUACGAAGGGGGCUAGCGUUGUUCGGAAUUACUGGGCGUAAAGCGCACGUAGGCGGAUAUUUAAGUUAGGGGUGAAAUCCCAGGGCUCAACCCUGGAACUGCCUCUAAUACUGGGUAUCUCGAGUCCGAGAGAGGUGAGUGGAAUUCCGAGUGUAGAGGUGAAAUUCGUAGAUAUUCGGAGGAACACCAGUGGCGAAGGCGGCUCACUGGCUGGACUGACGCUGAGGUGCGAAAGCGUGGGGAGCAAACAGGAUUAGAUACCCUUGUAGUC
RNAcentral lists this ribosomal RNA (431 nucleotides) under uncultured bacterium. Its description in RNAcentral is "partial 16S ribosomal RNA". It matches the Rfam family "Bacterial small subunit ribosomal RNA", at positions 338 to 795 of the family's 1533-position model. The record is from RNAcentral.